This 253-nucleotide ribosomal RNA is filed under the name uncultured bacterium. RNAcentral's name for it is "partial 16S ribosomal RNA". It matches the Rfam family "Bacterial small subunit ribosomal RNA", at positions 524 to 776 of the family's 1533-position model. The record is from RNAcentral.
GACGAACCGAGCGAACGUUGUUCGGAAUCACUGGGCUUAAAGGGCGCGUAGGCGGGCUGCCGCGUCCGGGGUGAAAUCCUCCGGCUUAACCGGGGAACGGCCUCGGAUACGGGCGGCCUCGAGGGGGGUAGGGGCAUGCGGAACUGUGAGUGGAGCGGUGAAAUGCGUUGAUAUUCACAGGAACUCCGGUGGCGAAGGCGGCGUGCUGGACCCCAUCUGACGCUGAGGCGCGAAAGCCAGGGGAGCAAACGGG